CCCAGACAGCCAGGAUGUUGGCUUAGAAGCAGCCAUCAUUUAAAGAAAGCGUAAUAGCUCACUGGUCGAGUCGGCCUGCGCGGAAGAUGUAACGGGGCUAAACCAUGCACCGAAGCUGCGGCAGCGACACUAUGUGUUGUUGGGUAGGGGAGCGUUCUGUAAGCCUGUGAAGGUGGCCUGUGAGGGUUGCUGGAGGUAUCAGAAGUGCGAAUGCUGACAUAAGUAACGAUAAAGCGGGUGAAAAGCCCGCUCGCCGGAAGACCAAGGGUUCCUGUCCAACGUUAAUCGGGGCAGGGUGAGUCGACCCCUAAGGCGAGGCCGAAAGGCGUAGUCGAUGGGAAACGGGUUAAUAUUCCCGUACUUGGUGUUACUGCGAAGGGGGGACGGAGAAGGCUAUGUUGGCCGGGCGACGGUUGUCCCGGUUUAAGCGUGUAGGUGUGUGUUCCAGGUAAAUCCGGUUCACUUUAACACUGAGGCGUGA
This 481-nucleotide ribosomal RNA is filed under the name Salmonella enterica subsp. enterica serovar Cerro. Its description in RNAcentral is "partial 23S ribosomal RNA". It matches the Rfam family "Bacterial large subunit ribosomal RNA", at positions 1084 to 1566 of the family's 2925-position model. The record is from RNAcentral. Lineage: Bacteria; Pseudomonadati; Pseudomonadota; Gammaproteobacteria; Enterobacterales; Enterobacteriaceae.